Molecule: ribosomal RNA, 427 nt
Filed under: uncultured bacterium
Lineage: Bacteria
Description: bacterial SSU rRNA
Rfam family: Bacterial small subunit ribosomal RNA
Source: RNAcentral
UGGGGAAUAUUGGACAAUGGGGGCAACCCUGAUCCAGCAAUGCCGCGUGUGUGAAGAAGGCCUGCGGGUUGUAAAGCACUUUCAAUUGGGAAGAAAAGCUGAAGAUUAAUACCCUUCAGUCUUGACAUUAUCUUUAGAAGAAGCACCGGCUAACUCCGUGCCAGCAGCCGCGGUAAUACGGAGGGUGCAAGCGUUAAUCGGAAUUACUGGGCGUAAAGCGCGCGUAGGCGGUUUAGUAAGUCGGAUGUGAAAUCCCCGGGCUCAACCUGGGAAUUGCAUUCGAUACUGCUUAACUAGAGUAUGGUAGAGGGAAGUGGAAUUCCGGGUGUAGCGGUGAAAUGCGUAGAUAUCCGGAGGAACAUCAGUGGCGAAGGCGACUUCCUGGACCAAUACUGACGCUGAGGUGCGAAAGCGUGGGGAGCAAACA